RNAcentral lists this transfer RNA (65 nucleotides) under Hyosciurus ileile (lowland long-nosed squirrel). RNAcentral's name for it is "tRNA-Cys". The record is from RNAcentral. Lineage: Eukaryota; Metazoa; Chordata; Mammalia; Rodentia; Sciuridae.
GCCCUGAGGUGUGAAUCAUAUUGAAUUGCAAAUUCGAAGAAGCAGCUUCAACUCUGCCGGGGCUU